UACGAAGGGUCCAAGCGUUAUCCGGAUUUAUUGGGUUUAAAGGGUGCGUAGGCGGCUUAUUAAGUCAGUGGUGAAAGACUUCAGCUUAACUGAAGAACUGCCAUUGAUACUAUUUAUCUUGAAUACUUUGGAGGUAAGCGGAAUAUGUCAUGUAGCGGUGAAAUGCUUAGAUAUGACAUAGAACACCAAUUGCGAAGGCAGCUCACUACACAGCCAUUGACGCUGAGGCACGAAAGCGUGGGGAUCAAACAGG
Molecule: ribosomal RNA, 253 nt
Filed under: uncultured bacterium
Lineage: Bacteria
Description: partial 16S ribosomal RNA
Rfam family: Bacterial small subunit ribosomal RNA
Source: RNAcentral